UACAGAGGUCUCAAGCGUUGUUCGGAUUCAUUGGGCGUAAAGGGUGCGUAGGUGGCAUGGUAAGUCGGAUGUGAAAUCCCGGGGCUCAACCCCGGAACUGCAUUCGAUACUGCUGCGCUAGAGUACUGGAGAGGAGACUGGAAUUCCUGGUGUAGCAGUGAAAUGCGUAGAUAUCAGGAGGAAUACCGAUGGCGAAGGCAGGUCUCUGGGCUGACACUGACGCUCAUGCACGAAAGCGUGGGGAGCAAACAGG
RNAcentral lists this ribosomal RNA (253 nucleotides) under uncultured bacterium. RNAcentral describes it as "partial 16S ribosomal RNA". It matches the Rfam family "Bacterial small subunit ribosomal RNA", at positions 524 to 776 of the family's 1533-position model. The record is from RNAcentral.